AACGUGGAUGCAGGAGGUGUAACCUGGAUGCAGGAGGUGUAACGUGGAUAGAGGAGGUGUAACGUGGAUGCAGGAGGUGUAACAUGAAUGGAGGAGGUGAAACGUGGAUGCAGGAGGUGUAACGUGGAUGGAGGAGGUGUAACGUGGAUGGAGGAGGUGUAACGUGGAUGCAGGAGGUGUAACGUGAAUGGAGGAGGUAUAACGUGAAUGGAGGAGGUGUAACGUGGAUGGAGGGGGUGUAACGUGGAUGGAGGAGGUGUAACGUGGAUGGAGGAGGUGUAAUGUGGAUGGAGGAGGUGUAACGUGGAUGGAGGAGGUGUAACUUGGAUGCAGGAGGUGUAACGUGGAUGCAGGAGGUGUAACAUGAAUGGAGGAGGUGUAACGUGAAUGGAGGAGGUGUAACGUGGAUGCAGGAGGUAUAACGUGGAUGCAGGAGGUAUAACGUGGAUGCAGGAAGUGUAACGUGAAUGGAGGAGGUGUAACGUGGAUGCAGGAGGUGUAACGUGAAUGGAGGAGGUGUAACGUGGAUGCAGGAGGUGUAACGUGGAUGGAGGAGGUGUAACGUGGAUGCAGGAGGUGUAAUGUGGAUGGAGGAGGUGUAACGUGGAUGCAGGAGGUGUAACGUGGAUGCAGGAGGUGUAACGUGGAUGGAGGAGGUGUAACGUGGAUGCAGGAGGUGUAACGUGGAUGGAGGAGGUGUAACGUGGAUGCAGGAGGUGUAACGUGGAUGCAGGA
Molecule: long non-coding RNA, 735 nt
Organism: Austrofundulus limnaeus
Lineage: Eukaryota; Metazoa; Chordata; Actinopteri; Cyprinodontiformes; Rivulidae
Exons: 3
Source: RefSeq, a predicted model, not a curated record